This 71-nucleotide transfer RNA is filed under the name Loxodonta africana (African savanna elephant). It matches the Rfam family "tRNA". From Rfam's summary of the family: Transfer RNA (tRNA) molecules are approximately 80 nucleotides in length. Their secondary structure includes four short double-helical elements and three loops (D, anti-codon, and T loops). The record is from Rfam by way of RNAcentral. Lineage: Eukaryota; Metazoa; Chordata; Mammalia; Proboscidea; Elephantidae.
GCAGUCAUGGUUCAGUGGUAGAAUUCUUGCCUUUUAUGCAGGAGACCUGGGUUCGAUUCCUGGCCAGUGCA